RNAcentral lists this microRNA precursor (91 nucleotides) under Marmota monax (woodchuck). The record is from RNAcentral. Lineage: Eukaryota; Metazoa; Chordata; Mammalia; Rodentia; Sciuridae.
AGUAUAAUUACUAGGUUGUAUGAUAAGUUCAUGCUUUGUUUUAUAAGAAACCAUCAGAUUGGUUGUGCCAUUUUACAUUCCCAAUAGCAAU